RNAcentral lists this unclassified non-coding RNA (345 nucleotides) under soil metagenome. Its description in RNAcentral is "partial contains 5.8S ribosomal RNA, internal transcribed spacer 2, and large subunit ribosomal RNA". The stretch from base 1 to 120 matches the Rfam family "5.8S ribosomal RNA", at positions 35 to 154 of the family's 154-position model. The record is from RNAcentral.
GAUGAAGAACGCAGCGAAAUGCGAUACGUAAUGUGAAUUGCAGAAUUCAGUGAAUCAUCGAGUCUUUGAACGCACAUUGCGCCCCCUGGUAUUCCGGGGGGCAUGCCUGUCCGAGCGUCAUUGCUGCCCUCAAGCACGGCUUGUGUGUUGGGCCUCCGUCCUCCUCCCGGGGGACGGGCCCGAAAGGCAGCGGCGGCACCGCGUCCGGUCCUCGAGCGUAUGGGGCUUCGUCACCCGCUCUUGUAGGCCCGGUCGGCGCUUGCCGACACUUCAAUCUUUUUUCCAGGUUGACCUCGGAUCAGGUAGGGAUACCCGCUGAACUUAAGCAUAUCAAUAAGCGGAGGA